UUUAUACGACCGCAAAAAAAUUUGCGGUCGUAUAUUGGUAUCACGUCGUCGUCGUCGUCGUCGUCAGCGUCAUCCGAAGACAUUUGGUUUCCGGACAAUAACUUUAGUAAAUGUAAAUAGAAAUCUAUGAAAUUAAAACACAAGGUUUAUAACCACAAAAUAAAGGUUGGGAUUGAUUUUGGGGGUUAUAGUUCUUACAGUUUAGGAAUUAGGGGCCAAAAAGGGGCCCAAAUAAGAAUUUUUCUAGUUUCCAGACAAUAACUUGUGGAACGGUGUAUGAAUCUCUCUGAAAUUAUACCACAAGUUUCCAUACCACAAAGGGAUGGUUAGGAUUGGCUUUGGGGGGUUAUGGCUCAAACCGUUUAGGAAUUAGGGGAAAAAAAGUGAGAAAAAACAAGGGUGUCCUGGUUAAUGGACAAUUACUUAAGUAUAAAUUACAGUGUAAGAGAGGUAAUUCAAACACAAUUCUGAUUUACCUCCCUUACACUGCUUUUAAAUUAUGUAUAAAGAAUAUUUGUAUUGUCUUGAGGUGAUUAGCUGUCAAUUCAUUUUUAGAAGUUACUAUUUUAAUAAUUUUAAAAAUGCUGAUUUAGGUAAAUUAAUUUUAGCUAUGAUUAUGUAUGUCAUUUUCUAUUUUAAGACUUUUAUGAUGUAUUUAAAUGGGUUAUUAUGGUUGCAAACUCCAUUGGAAAUUUGAAUUGAAAUUAUGACCAUGACUGA
This is a long non-coding RNA of Mytilus californianus (California mussel), 720 nucleotides long. RefSeq lists it as uncharacterized. Lineage: Eukaryota; Metazoa; Mollusca; Bivalvia; Mytilida; Mytilidae. The transcript has 2 exons. The record is from RefSeq and is a predicted model, not a curated record.